RNAcentral lists this ribosomal RNA (479 nucleotides) under Cryptosporidium bovis. Its description in RNAcentral is "SSU rRNA". It matches the Rfam family "Eukaryotic small subunit ribosomal RNA", at positions 348 to 865 of the family's 1831-position model. The record is from RNAcentral. Lineage: Eukaryota; Apicomplexa; Conoidasida; Eucoccidiorida; Cryptosporidiidae.
GGCUAUGACGGGUAACGGGGAAUUAGGGUUCGAUUCCGGAGAGGGAGCCUGAGAAACGGCUACCACAUCUAAGGAAGGCAGCAGGCGCGCAAAUUACCCAAUCCUAAUACAGGGAGGUAGUGACAAGAAAUAACAAUACAGAACCUUACGGUUUUGUAAUUGGAAUGAGUUAAGUAUAAACCCCUUAACAAGUAUCAAUUGGAGGGCAAGUCUGGUGCCAGCAGCCGCGGUAAUUCCAGCUCCAAUAGCGUAUAUUAAAGUUGUUGCAGUUAAAAAGCUCGUAGUUAAUCUUCUGUUAAUUUUUAUAUAUAAUAUCACGAUAUUUAUAUAAUAUUAACAUAAUUCAUAUUACUUUUUAGUAUAUGAAACUUUACUUUGAGAAAAUUAGAGUGCUUAAAGCAGGCUAUUGCCUUGAAUACUCCAGCAUGGAAUAAUAUUAAGGAUUUUUAUUCUUCUUAUUGGUUCUAGAAUAAAAAUGA